This 1091-nucleotide ribosomal RNA is filed under the name Prochlorococcus sp. scB243_498I20. RNAcentral describes it as "bacterial SSU rRNA". It matches the Rfam family "Bacterial small subunit ribosomal RNA", at positions 406 to 1512 of the family's 1533-position model. The record is from RNAcentral. Lineage: Bacteria; Bacillati; Cyanobacteriota; Cyanophyceae; Synechococcales; Prochlorococcaceae.
GGACGAAGGCCUCUGGGCUGUAAACCUCUUUUCUCAAGGAAGAAGAUAUGACGGUACUUGAGGAAUAAGCCACGGCUAAUUCCGUGCCAGCAGCCGCGGUAAUACGGGAGUGGCAAGCGUUAUCCGGAAUUAUUGGGCGUAAAGCGUCCGCAGGCGGCUUUUCAAGUCUGCUGUUAAAGCGUGGAGCUUAACUCCAUCAUGGCAGUGGAAACUGAAAGGCUUGAGUAUGGUAGGGGCAGAGGGAAUUCCCGGUGUAGCGGUGAAAUGCGUAGAUAUCGGGAAGAACACCAGUGGCGAAGGCGCUCUGCUGGGCCAUUACUGACGCUCAUGGACGAAAGCCAGGGGAGCGAAAGGGAUUAGAUACCCCUGUAGUCCUGGCCGUAAACGAUGAACACUAGGUGUCGGGGGAAUCGACCCCUUCGGUGUCGUAGCUAACGCGUUAAGUGUUCCGCCUGGGGAGUACGCACGCAAGUGUGAAACUCAAAGGAAUUGACGGGGGCCCGCACAAGCGGUGGAGUAUGUGGUUUAAUUCGAUGCAACGCGAAGAACCUUACCAGGGUUUGACAUCCUGCGAACCUCUUAGAAAUUUGAGGGUGCCUUCGGGAAUGCAGUGACAGGUGGUGCAUGGCUGUCGUCAGCUCGUGUCGUGAGAUGUUGGGUUAAGUCCCGCAACGAGCGCAACCCACGUUUUUAGUUGCCAGCAUUUAGUUGGGCACUCUAGAAAGACCGCCGGUGAUAAACCGGAGGAAGGUGUGGAUGACGUCAAGUCAUCAUGCCCCUUACACCCUGGGCUACACACGUACUACAAUGCUACGGACAAAGGGCAGCAAACUCGCGAGAGCUAGCAAAUCCCAUAAACCGUGGCUCAGUUCAGAUCGUAGGCUGCAACUCGCCUACGUGAAGUAGGAAUCGCUAGUAAUCGCAGGUCAGCAUACUGCGGUGAAUACGUUCCCGGGCCUUGUACACACCGCCCGUCACACCAUGGAAGUUGGCCAUGCCCGAAGUCGUUACUCCAACCCUUGUGGAGGAGGACGCCGAAGGUGGGGCUAAUGACUGGGGUGAAGUCGUAACAAGGUAGCCGUACCGGAAGG